Molecule: non-coding RNA, 223 nt
Organism: Caenorhabditis elegans
Lineage: Eukaryota; Metazoa; Nematoda; Chromadorea; Rhabditida; Rhabditidae
Source: Ensembl
UCCUGAAAAAGUUAUGAAUUAUUUGCAGUAAACUGAUUGAAACUUCUCAACCUGUAUGAAUUCUUUUGUGAGCUGUUAGAUUAGCUGCUUGAGAGAAUGCUUUUCCACAAGUUUGACAUCUGAAAGGUUUUGGUGUAGAUCUUGCCAUUGGUCGUUGUACUGGAAGAGGUUCUUUCUUUGGAAGGCGAAGAGAUGGAGUUGGAUCCAUAUAACAGAGACCGGA